This 253-nucleotide unclassified non-coding RNA is filed under the name uncultured Actinomycetes bacterium. RNAcentral describes it as "uncultured actinobacterium contains 16S-23S intergenic spacer region". It matches the Rfam family "Bacterial small subunit ribosomal RNA", at positions 524 to 776 of the family's 1533-position model. Lineage: Bacteria; Bacillati; Actinomycetota; Actinomycetes. The record is from RNAcentral.
UACGUAGGGGGCAAGCGUUAUCCGGAUUUAUUGGGCGUAAAGAGCUCGUAGGCGGCCGUUCGCGUCGGAUGUGAAAGCUCAGGGCUCAACCCUGAGACGCCAUUCGAUACGGGACGGCUAGAGGUAGGUAGGGGAAAGUGGAAUUCCUGGUGUAGCGGUGAAAUGCGCAGAUAUCAGGAGGAACACCGGUGGCGAAGGCGGCUUUCUGGGCCUUACCUGACGCUGAGGAGCGAAAGCUGGGGUAGCGAACAGG